RNAcentral lists this unclassified non-coding RNA (249 nucleotides) under uncultured fungus. Its description in RNAcentral is "sequence contains ITS2". The stretch from base 1 to 52 matches the Rfam family "5.8S ribosomal RNA", at positions 103 to 154 of the family's 154-position model. Lineage: Eukaryota; Fungi. The record is from RNAcentral.
AACGCACAUUGCGCCUAUUGGUAUUCCAAUAGGCAUGCCUGUUCGAGCGUCAUUUAAACCUUCAAGCUUUGCUUGGUGUUGGGUGUUGCCCGCCGUUUCUUCUGCGGACUCGCCUUGAAUGAAUUGGCAGCCAGCAUUUGGUGUGUUGGAGCGCAGCACAUUUUGCGUUCUCGGCCAUAGUAGCGGGCGUCCAGAAAGCUUAUUUCAACGUUUGACCUCGGAUCAGGUAGGGAUACCCGCUGAACUUAA